Molecule: ribosomal RNA, 1097 nt
Filed under: Triticum aestivum (bread wheat)
Lineage: Eukaryota; Viridiplantae; Streptophyta; Magnoliopsida; Poales; Poaceae
Description: partial small subunit ribosomal RNA
Source: RNAcentral
UUUUUUGCCUGUGGCUUUGUUUUGCGCAGGCGUUGUACCAGUGCAGGAAGAGAAGAAGAAGAAGAAGAAGGGAAACGCAGGACAAGGUCGAGCGUCAGUGUCGUCGUAGGCAGCGGUGAUUAAUUAACGUCGACAUCGUGGCGGGCGGGCGAGGCACCUCGAAUGUUCGGUGGUCGCUCCUCUCAGCUCCGCGCGUGCACCCACCCAGACGCGCGCGGCAGGCAGCAGCAGCAGGAGGAUCUAGGUUGUCGGAAACAGGGACGAGCCUCGGCACGCGGCCCGCCUCCCUGCGCGCUGCUACCGGUGGCCGGCACCCGAGGGCGAGGAGGAGCAGGAGCGGCGGGAGGACCAGCCCGAGCGGAGGCGGAGGGGGAAGUAGAGGCUGCCGCACAAGGUCCGCCCGCGGCCUAGAUGAUGCCCCUCCUGGAACGACGUCCGGUUCUCCCUAACAGGACACUUGAAGCUCAAGGUUUUGAUGUGGCAGUAGUGUUCGUCCACGUUUCCCGGUUUUAUAGGAGGAUUUCUGACGACACUAAGAAAGUUCCUUAAACGUACGGGUAAAUUAUUGAUGUAGUUACUACUUUCGUUACUGACACGUAGGUGUUACAAGUCGAUGUAGUUGGAGAUACCGUUCAUGGGUGGUCCGGACAAACGGGUGCUCACGGCUCUUCCGUUCGAUCCAGAAAGAACGCUUCCGCAGGGGGUCUUUCUGCAGCAAUUUUCACCACAGGUUUCCCGAGCUUCGUCGAGCGAACGAAACUAAUGAGAGUACACACCUGAUCAUCGUAACAAGAAGGUUAUCUGCCACGGCACCACCACCACUAUGGAAAUAAAGAGGGUACAAAAAGUUUACUACAACUCGGACUUAGGCGACGACGAGGAAUUCCGCGAGAACUUUAAAAGGAAGAACGUUAUAGAACAUUAAACUUCGAUACAGUCUAAUGUAUAAGAAACCUUAGAGUGGACCAACGGUUGAAUCUUAAGUGACUAACAGUGACAUAGUAUGGAGAGUGUGACAUAAUACAGAGUGAGCACAUAUUACUACUGUUGAAAAAGAAAAACCAGUGACCUUUCUCAAACCAACAUACACUUAGUAG